This is a long non-coding RNA of Rosa chinensis, 2141 nucleotides long. RefSeq lists it as uncharacterized. Lineage: Eukaryota; Viridiplantae; Streptophyta; Magnoliopsida; Rosales; Rosaceae. The record is from RefSeq and is a predicted model, not a curated record. The transcript has 7 exons.
UUUUGUCUCCUACAUCAUUUAUUUCCAACACUUGGACAAAACAGCAUGAAAACACAGUUUCUUCAUUAGUCUUCUUCUCUCCCCGAAAUACAACUACCUUCCUCUUCAUCCAUAGCCAACCUUCGCGUCUGAUUCAAAAGCAAAUCCCUCAUCCAAUCGAAGCGCCCAGCUCCUCACUUGAGUUCCCAGUGGAUUUCACCCUCUCUGCACUAAAACCCAUCCCUCAGAUCCCUAAUCAUCAAUUGGAGAAUAAUGGCGAAGCAAUCUAAAGCCAAGGAAUUGGAGAAUCUGGGCAAGGGCACCGUCACCCCCGUCCAGAUCGCCUUCCUCGUCGACCAGUAUCUCUUCGGUAAUAGCUACACAGAAGCCCGCUUUGUUUUCAGAACUAAAGCCUCCUCACUCUUCUCCAAGUCUCCGAUUCAAGAGGUGUCAAAGAGCUUGCUAAGUUAGUCUGAGAUUCUAAACGAGUACAUAGCAUUGAGGAAUAGAAGGUGCUUCGUGAAGCCAAUGGCGACCCGGACAAGGCUGACGAGCCGUUCAUGAGCUCCACCGAGCUUCAUCUCUUCCCCUCAGUUUUUGCUCUUCCGACUGUUAUACACAGAGUGCUUUCGCUAUUCAGGCAUAACAAUAAGCUAUGGCGCUGAGGAGAAAAUUGGGUGACAGUUCAAAUCAUAAUUGCAAAAUGAUGUCAAGGUUUUCGAGGUAUUAUAGCUCAAACGAGGUGGACUUAAAGAAGCUGAGGCUUAUGAAGAUCUGAAGAGAAUCCAGGACGAAGAUAAGGAAUAUCUUCAUUCAACUCCUACUAUGGUCAGCAAGGCACUUCUUGCAGAGUUUAUAACGGCUAAGAAGAGAAGCAAACCAUUUAAAGCUUUGGGAUCAGAACAUAUGAAUAAACCUUGCCCCGUCAUUCCAUCUAACCUUACAAGUUCUGCUCUCCAAAGUCUCGAAUUUCAGAUGGAUGCAUUUUGCUUAAGAGAGCGGGAUCUACUGAAUCGCUUUGCUAUGGAAGUGUCCCAACGACAAAAACAGGGAGAAAGCAAAGAGUACUCAGUCCUUCUGUUCCAGAGUUAUCAGCCUGCAGAGGAUUUGGGAAGAGCUUUCUCAGAUCGAUCAAUAUUGCAAACCUUCAUCGAUGUAGAGGCAACUGUACCUGUUGGUUCACUAAAGCUAAGAGUAACUGUUACUGACCUUGUGAAAAUCUGUCUCUGCCACUUGUAUGGAUAGGACACUCAGUUGAUGAGAUUCGAAUAUCUUAAACAGGUUCUGUAGUACAUUUGGUGCUAUAUAGUUCGUCAUAUAUGACUAAAGGAGUAGGGUUCAUGAAUAUAUGGGAAAUAAGAAUGCGUUCUCAGGUCUUCUUGUGUUUUUGAGUCAAUUUCAUGCUUCACGUUUCAUGCUAGGAUACUGAAAAUUUGCUGGCUUUUGGCGAUAAGAAAAAAGAAGAAAGGAAGCAAGUCUGUUAUGGAUUAAUUGCAAUGUGUCACUACCCCCUGAAUCAUCAAUUUUUCAGAACACUUGACAUUAUAGAGAAGGUUUUGAGUUGCUUUUUCCCAAAAUAGAAACUAUCUGUAAUGAAGCUUAUUUUACAUAUUGUAAUGUGUGUAACUACCAUUGCACCAUAAACUAUGUGUACUUAACAUUGUAGUGAGAACGUAAAAUAAAUCCAAUAACUGAUCGUUGUUUGUUUCUACUACAGAAUGUCUUAGCUACGUUGAGGACCUUGUAUGCAUUGAGUUGCUUGGAAGAGGUUGUGGCAUUCCUCCGCUACGGGUACUUAUCAAUAGAUAAUGUUGCUGCCAUUAGGAAAGAAGUAAGCAGCCUCUACAGGGAGUUACGACCUCAUGCACUUGCCUUGAUCAUAUCGUUCAAAUAAAGGAUGAUGCACAAUUGGUGCUGGGAAGGCAAGUGGAGAGCCAGAUUUAAUCCCACAUCCCACCACCUCUUCUAACCAUUUUACCCAAUGUGAAGCCAGAAGUCCUAAUUUCUCUCAAGUAUUAUGUACCAAUUCAUUAUCAAAGUACUAGGUCGAUCAUUAUAUUUUUGGGUUGUUUAGUGAUCAUGUGCCACUUUGGCUUAUUAGGUUUCAUGAUUUUGUGGAACACUGACUAACAUGAAUGCAUCUUGGUGGAUCCAUUUGAUGA